GUGCUCACUUCAGCAGCACAUACACUAAAAUUGGAACAACACAGAGAAGAUUAGCAUGGCCCUUGAAUAAGGAUGACACACAAAUUCAUGAAGCAUUCCCCCCCCCC
This 107-nucleotide small nuclear RNA is filed under the name Zalophus californianus (California sea lion). The record is from RNAcentral. Lineage: Eukaryota; Metazoa; Chordata; Mammalia; Carnivora; Otariidae.